CACGUAGGGGCCAAGCGUUGUCCGGAUUUAUUGGGCGUAAAGAGCUCGUAGGCGGUUGGGUAAGUCGGGUGUGAAAACUCCAGGCUCAACUUGGAGACGCCACCCGAUACUGCUCUGACUUGAGUUCGGUAGGGGAGUGGGGAAUUCCUGGUGUAGCGGUGAAAUGCGUAGAGCUCGGGAAGAACAUCGGUGGCGAAAGCGCUCUGCUGGACUGCAACUGACACUCAGGGACGAAAGCUAGGGGAGCGAAUGGG
This 254-nucleotide ribosomal RNA is filed under the name uncultured bacterium. RNAcentral describes it as "partial 16S ribosomal RNA". It matches the Rfam family "Bacterial small subunit ribosomal RNA", at positions 524 to 776 of the family's 1533-position model. The record is from RNAcentral.